Molecule: ribosomal RNA, 253 nt
Filed under: uncultured bacterium
Lineage: Bacteria
Description: partial 16S ribosomal RNA
Rfam family: Bacterial small subunit ribosomal RNA
Source: RNAcentral
UACAGAGGUCUCAAGCGUUGUUCGGAUUCAUUGGGCGUAAAGGGUGCGUAGGCGGCGCGGUAAGUCGGGUGUGAAAUCUCGGAGCUUAACUCCGAAACUGCAUUCGAUACUGCCGUGCUUGAGGACUGGAGAGGAGACUGGAAUUUACGGUGUAGCGGUGAAAUGCGUAGAUAUCGUAAGGAAGACCAGUGGCGAAGGCGGGUCCCUGGACAGUUCCUGACGCUGAGGCACGAAGGUCAGGGGAGCAAACGGG